Molecule: long non-coding RNA, 1771 nt
Organism: Macaca mulatta (Rhesus monkey)
Lineage: Eukaryota; Metazoa; Chordata; Mammalia; Primates; Cercopithecidae
Source: Ensembl
UCUGAAAUAGAUGUAAAUUUUGCAGGUGGCCAAAGCAGGCAGCCGUGGGGCUGUGACAGGAAAGGCCACCCUCGCCACCAAGACCCCGCCGGCCUCACGUUCUGUUGUCGAAAGACACCUGCCUGCUUUGCGACUCCAUCUCCACUGAAACGGCCCUGCAGGCAUUUGCAGGGAUCUCCACCGAAACGGCCCCUGCAGGCAUUUGCAGGGAUCGGUCCUUUUCCCUUGAGCACCUACUUUAUUCCUCUCCCCAGAAUCAGGAGGCGCAGCCCUGAUCAAUCUUGCCACUUACGCCAACCCACUGGUAUUGUCACUUUUCAAUCUCUUUAACAUACAUGCAGGAAGAAAGACAGCCAGUGUGGAACACAGUUCAGCAAGGCCAAAGAGGAGCAGUGGCCUCAUCCCAGGACGUGCUGGGCAGGCACCACAGUGCCGGCGUCCCCACAUCCAGGACAAAGCUGAGUGCAAGUGUCACCGUGAGGUGGCCUGUGUGAUCCUGGCCCACUGACCCCCUCAGGUGAAAGAGAGCGGGAGACGCCUCUCAGCCAGGACUCAGACCACCAGCACGCAGCACCCAGUACCCACAGGUAAGCAUGUGCACCUGAGUAGAGAGGAGACCUUGGUAUAGAGGGGACAGUGAUGUGACGGCCACCAAGUCCAUGCUCUGACCCCCCCGCCCAGCAGCAGGGGUGCCAGCCUCAUUGUGGAGUAUUGCAGCAUGUGGGGAAAUGAUUUUAUUUUCCUCAUCACUGCUACCAGCUGGGCGCUAAUGAGCGCCCAGUUCUGGUUCCAUUGGUGACAUUUCAGUUCACACAUCACUGUCAUUUGGGGUGGAUAAGUCCAAGCCACUUAAACCUCAGGCUCACAUUGAUUAGAAACUUCCCUCCAGUCUCAGUUUCAGGCUUCUGCUCUUUCCCGGACCAUCAGGAGAAACGGCAACGGGAGAAGCAAAGAGAAGGCGUGGAGCCGAGAGGAGAAGGGAGGCCGUGCUCGUCAGGAAGCAGGUGAACGACCUUCAGGCUGCAGUUCCCACUGCACCCACCCCAGUCCCGGCCACAACAAUGGGAUACAAGGAAGCCUCCUGCAGGCAUCUGGGCUCUGACCCAACCAGAGACCAGGCCACGGCAGUCAAGGGUGAAGACGGCCCCACAGAGGCCCUGGAGCAGCGUGGACUGGACUCAUCACCUUCUUUCUUAUGCCUCGUCCUGGGGCCAGAGUGGCCGGCAUUGUUUGGUGUGAUUUAACUUUCUCAGGGGCACCGGGCAGGGAACCCCUGGGAGAGUGAUAAAGACUCAGUUUCCACCCUCGGAGAGCUUGCCUGCUAAUAGAACCCCAGCAGCCAGGCCACCAGCAGCCCAGUCCUCUGCGGGACUUCAGACUUUUGUCACCCCGGGCUUUGUACCCCAGACUCCCCUGGACAAAGCCCACCUGCUGUCCGGGUCGUGGCUACCUAGCAGCAGGGGAGCACGUGUACUAAACACCAGCAGAGCCAGGAUGCCAGUCCCCUGAACGGACUUCGUUCAGUGCCCCCACCAUACUGGAACCCUUUAGGGAAAGAAGAGAGGGAGCUCCCUGGAGGCUGUGGUUCUGUGGGCCUCUGCGAUCCUAAUCAACGCGACCAGUCCUGUUUGGAAGUCUCAUCUAAAAUCUUAGCGCCUAUUUUGGAGGAAUGGCAGAGAGUGACCCAGGAAGGGUCACAUCCUAUCUGGAUCCUAAGACACACACAGACGGGGAGGACCAGAGUGCUCGAGGGGCCGGGGGCUGCUUACAG